This 860-nucleotide long non-coding RNA is filed under the name Homo sapiens (human). Its description in RNAcentral is "HSALNT0088347". The record is from RNAcentral. Lineage: Eukaryota; Metazoa; Chordata; Mammalia; Primates; Hominidae.
UUUGGAAAAUGUUUAUCUGGCGUGACUAGGGGAGGCAAAGCAAGGAAACAGGAACCUCCCUCUAAGGAGCAGAAUAGCCAACAUGCAGGGGCGCCACUCGCUUUGAAGUGCAGACGAGGAGGCGCGGGCGCGAGCGUGUGUGUCUGUGGGGCUGCUGUGGGACUGUCUGUGCUAGGAGAGCGGCGGAAAACCCGGCGUGGAGCGCCUGCAGUCCGCCGUCCGGGGUCGCGCCCGCCGCGGGGCUCAGGAGGGACCGGCACGCAGGCGCGCACGGCCGCGCACCUGUCUCGCUAGAACCCCGCGCGCCCCGCCGAGCCACUGCCCUCCAGGUUGCCCAGACCGCUGGAGCCUCUGCGACUCCACGACCGGCUGCUUCCUGCGAAGUUUCACAAACAAGGAUGUGAAGUUGAUGGCUGGAGUCGGAGCAGCCAUAUUGGAUGGUUUGAUUGAAAAUGGCCCAUGGAGUACAACCACCUGGGAACAUAUCCUCGAGAAAGACAGUUGAGGCUUAUUGCCUAAACCACAGGCUACUGAAAACUUGGCCAAAGGCGACUACUCUAGACUGGUGACUUCAAAAGUGCUGAUGAAUACAGUGAACCAUGAAAGAUGCAUUAUUUGUUUUGAACAUUUUACUAUGAUUGAUGACCCAGAUUUGGCAAGUUAGUUCACUCCCAGUGGAGAUGAAAGUUUCACUGCCUUCUUUCUUUCAACAUUCUUGUUGAGACAGAUUUCACUUUUAUUGGCCAAUGUACUAACAAAUCACUUGCAUUUGCAGCAUAAUGAAUUCAUUAGCAACACUGUGGAUCAAUGCUAUACAUAAUAUUCCUGAGUCAACAUUAACUCUUAAUUAAACUUCCUUA